GGCAGGCUUAACACAUGCAAGUCGAGGGGCAGCGGGGAGUAGCAAUACUCCGCCGGCGACCGGCGCACGGGUGCGUAACGCGUAUGCAACCUACCUUUAACAGGGGCAUAACACUGAGAAAUUGGUACUAAUUCCCCAUAACAUUCGAGAAGGCAUCUUCUUGGGUUAAAAACUCCGGUGGUUAAAGAUGGGCAUGCGUUGUAUUAGCUAGUUGGUGAGGUAACGGCUCACCAAGGCAACGAUACAUAGGGGGACUGGGAGGUUAACCCCCCACAUUGGUACUGAGACACGGACCAAACUCCUACGGGAGGCAGCAGUGAGGAAUAUUGGUCAAUGGACGCAAGUCUGAACCAGCCAUGCCGCGUGCAGGAAGACGGCUCUAUGAGUUGUAAACUGCUUUUGUACUAGGGUAAACGCUUCUACGUGUAGGAGCCUGAAAGUAUAGUACGAAUAAGGAUCGGCUAACUCCGUGCCAGCAGCCGCGGUAAUACGGAGGAUCCAAGCGUUAUCCGGAUUUAUUGGGUUUAAAGGGUGCGUAGGCGGUUUGAUAAGUUAGAGGUGAAAUACCGGGGCUCAACUCCGGAACUGCCUCUAAUACUGUUGAACUAGAGAGUAGUUGCGGUAGGCGGAAUGUAUGGUGUAGCGGUGAAAUGCUUAGAGAUCAUACAGAACACCGAUUGCGAAGGCAGCUUACCA
RNAcentral lists this ribosomal RNA (696 nucleotides) under uncultured Bacteroidales bacterium. RNAcentral's name for it is "bacterial SSU rRNA". It matches the Rfam family "Bacterial small subunit ribosomal RNA", at positions 41 to 731 of the family's 1533-position model. Lineage: Bacteria; Pseudomonadati; Bacteroidota; Bacteroidia; Bacteroidales. The record is from RNAcentral.